CAGAUCAUUCCGUCGUCGAUUAAGCAUUCCGUCGCCGAUGAGCAUUCCGUUGCCGAUUUGAGAGCAUUCCAUCGCCGAUUUGAGCAUAUUGUCGCUGCUUAUUGAAAUGCCUUUCUGAUAGGAACCUUUUAAGCGCGAGCUAGGGAGCAAGAAGCGUGAGCUAAGCAAGAAGAGGUCCAAAAGAUUAUUCUUAAUUUUUUGAGGAGCAAGGGUUAUGAUGACGCUUUUACCUAUGGGGGUGGUUCAUCUUCAAGUUAAAUCACUUAUUGAUUUCUUAUUGGUGGCUUUAGAAGAUUUACUUUUGGCAUUAUUUGAAGACAUAUGAGGAUAUCUUCCACUGGUUCUAAUUAUAUUAUGC
Molecule: long non-coding RNA, 358 nt
Organism: Quercus lobata
Lineage: Eukaryota; Viridiplantae; Streptophyta; Magnoliopsida; Fagales; Fagaceae
Exons: 4
Source: RefSeq, a predicted model, not a curated record